AACUACGUGAGUGAUCUACCUAAAAUUGCUAGAAGGGCUCACAGACAAUUACUGUGGCCCUUCUUCCUAAGCUAGCUCUCCCCAAACUUGAGAGACUGGGAGAUUUGCUUGGUUGGGAAAAGGAAAGGAUGAAGAUGAAGCACCCAGCCCUUGACUCCUCAGCAAAGCAGAUUAUCAUCUCCACAUAAACAGGCCUGCUAGCACAAUUAUCUAUAUGUGUGAAGGAAGAAAUAGUUAGCACAAAGCAGAAGGCUGAAGAGACAAAAAUGUGUGUGCAGAAAAGAAGCACGAAAAGGUCUCCCCAGAGAUCUGGUAAGCUCCAUGGGCUAGUGAUCCUGUUGAAACCAGAAGAAUGGCUAAACUCAGAACUCCAUGUGUCAGCUGAAUCCAGGCAAGGCUACUGUUUAUAUCCCAUGGAUUUAGAGACAAAUCUGAGAAGACAUUGCUUUAAUUCCUCUCAGGUUAGUUGGAUUUUUUGGAUGUUAUCUUGAAAAGUUGAUCAUGUAAAUUUUAAAACUCAAUAUAGACACUGUAAAAUAAAGUCAUUGUUCAGAGGAGAGCUAGAGAGUGA
This 571-nucleotide long non-coding RNA is filed under the name Anser brachyrhynchus (Pink-footed goose). RNAcentral's name for it is "lncRNA (ENSABRG00000016451.1)". The record is from RNAcentral. Lineage: Eukaryota; Metazoa; Chordata; Aves; Anseriformes; Anatidae.